Molecule: ribosomal RNA, 273 nt
Filed under: uncultured bacterium
Lineage: Bacteria
Description: partial 16S ribosomal RNA
Rfam family: Bacterial small subunit ribosomal RNA
Source: RNAcentral
UACGGAGGGUGCAAGCGUUAAUCGGAAUUACUGGGCGUAAAGCGCGCGUAGGCGGUUUGGUAAGUCGGAUGUGAAAGCCCCGGGCUUAACCUGGGAAUUGCAUUCGAUACUGCCUGACUGGAGUAUGGUAGAGGGAAGUGGAAUUUCCGGUGUAGCGGUGAAAUGCGUAGAUAUCGGAAGGAACACCAGUGGCGAAGGCGACUUCCUGGGCCAAUACUGACGCUGAGGCGCGAAAGCGUGGGGAGCAAACAGGAUUAGAAACCCCAGUAGUCC